RNAcentral lists this ribosomal RNA (525 nucleotides) under uncultured bacterium. RNAcentral describes it as "bacterial SSU rRNA". It matches the Rfam family "Bacterial small subunit ribosomal RNA", at positions 396 to 911 of the family's 1533-position model. The record is from RNAcentral.
ACCGCGUGAGUGAUGAAGGCUCUUGGGUCGUAAAGCUCUGUCAGAGGGGAAGAACCUCCUGUCAUAUAAUACAUGGCAGGCCUGACGGUACCCUCAAAGGAAGCACCGGCUAACCCCGUGCCAGCAGCCGCGGUAAUACGGAGGGUGCAAGCGUUGUUCGGAAUUAUUGGGCGUAAAGAGCGUGUAGGCGGUUCUUCAAGUCUGAUGUGAAAGCCCUGGGCUCAACCCAGGAAGUGCAUUGGAAACUGGAGAACUUGAGUACGGGAGAGGAAAGUGGAAUUUCGAAUGUAGGGGUGAAAUCCGUAGAUAUUCGAAGGAACACCAGUGGCGAAGGCGGCUUUCUGGACCGAUACUGACGCUGAGACGCGAAAGCGUGGGGAGCAAACAGGAUUAGAUACCCUGGUAGUCCACGCCGUAAACGAUGGGUACUAGGUGUCGCGGGUAUUGACCCCUGCGGUGCCAAAGCUAACGCAUUAAGUACCCCGCCUGGGGAGUACGGCCGCAAGGCUAAAACUCAAAGGAAUU